CAAAGGUAGCGUAAUCACUUGUUCCAUAAAUGGGGACCAGUAUGAACGGCCACAUGAGAAAGAAACUGUCUCUUGAAGAUAACCUAUGAAACUGAUCUUCCUGUGAAAAAGCAGGCAUACCAAAGCAAGACAAAAAGACCCUGCGAAACUUAAAACUAAGCAUUAAACUUAUUAAUGCCUAACUUUUAGUUGGGGCAACUAUAGAUAUACUAAACAUCUUAAAUCAAUCUAAACCAACAAGUUAAAAUUACUAAAACUGAUCCGGCAAAGCCGAUUAAUGAACCAAGCUACUCCAGGGAUAACAGCGCUAAAUUCUUUAAGAGUCCACAUCAACAAGAAUUCUUACGACCUCGAUGUUGGAUCAGGGUACCCAAACAGUGCAGAAGCUGUUAAAGGUUCGUUUGUUCAACGACUAACACCCU
This 422-nucleotide ribosomal RNA is filed under the name Acanthocercus cyanogaster. Its description in RNAcentral is "partial 16S ribosomal RNA". It matches the Rfam family "Bacterial large subunit ribosomal RNA", at positions 1951 to 2597 of the family's 2925-position model. Lineage: Eukaryota; Metazoa; Chordata; Lepidosauria; Squamata; Agamidae. The record is from RNAcentral.